Molecule: long non-coding RNA, 3930 nt
Organism: Nasonia vitripennis (jewel wasp)
Lineage: Eukaryota; Metazoa; Arthropoda; Insecta; Hymenoptera; Pteromalidae
Exons: 2
Source: RefSeq, a predicted model, not a curated record
CAGAGCCAGUAGUUUCUGGCUCGAUGUUUGUGUGUCUGGUGGCGGGCGCCGCGCCGAGAGCCAAGCCACGAGGUCGGGCUUGCUCUUUCCGCUGCGGUGCGCGCUCGUCGGCUAUCUUUACUCUCUGGUUCUCUCUCUCUCUCUCUCUCUUUCUCUCUCUGUUGAUUUUUCCAGCGAUUUUUUCGCUUUCUCUUUCGCCGCUGACUUUUUUUUCAUCCCCGCGACGUCGCGAAUCAUCGCGACGAAGGCCAGUAUAGAGAGAUGUCGAGUUCGCGGACUGCGCUGGGGGAAAGAAGCUGUUGGAACUUCGGGAGAGCGGACGAGAUCUUGGGAAGCUGCCGGAGAGGAAAGGACACAGCGCAGAUGGACGCUCGCCGAAGGACUGGGGAAAAAAGUCGGCUAGAUUGCCGAGGUUUCAGCUGUGAGUGUCCGUGAAACCAGUUUAAAAUGUCAGGAGGACGACGCGUGGGAGGAAGAGUGCAGCAUCGGCGCGCGAGAAAGGAGGAUACGAGAGAGAGACAGGAGAAAAACUAUCCGGAGCGGCGGUGAAUGCCAUAUUUGACGGGCGCAGAGCCAUUUCUUUCUGGCCUUGUGAUCAUGCGGGAGAAGAGGAGUGUGAGAGAGAGAGAGAGAGAGAGAGAGAGAGAGAGAGAGAGAGAGAGAGAGAGAGAGAGAUGACAUGCAUCGAAUCCGUUCGACCUGUGUAUACAUGUAUAUACACCGCAACAGCAGCAGCUGCUGCAUCCGUAGGUAUAACUGUUUGUACAUUGUUCGCACGGCGAGAACGGGAGAAUUAUGCGAGGUCAAUGCGAAAAGUUUUGAGCGCGCGGCUGAGCAUGCUGCUCUGUAUACUCGUUCGAGCUUUCUCUCGCUCUCAAAUACAGUGUGCACACGUAUUUUUGCUUUUUCGAUAGUUAUAAGCGACAGUUGCCUCCGAACGUUGACUAUAUACAGCGGAUAUAAAAGGACGACUCGCGUUUUGUUGUAUAUAAAUGCCGUGUUUGCAAAAUGCAUGAGUGUUUGUUCCGCGCGAUGACACAGUUGAAAACGAGAAACGUUUGUUCGAUUGUAGAAGCUUACAAAGAGUCAUUCUCAAUUAGUGUUAAACAAGCGCGCUUGUUUGGCAAUCGAGGCGAAUAGCGUCGACGAGGAACAAUUCUACAACUGGUAAAUCGUUGCAGGUGCGGCGUUAACACCGAACGAUUCGACUCUUCUCUCCACCCCCACGACUGGAAAUCAAGCAGAUCGCGGAGGGAAAGUGACCACCGCCGGAUAAGCUAUUAUCUACCGCCAGUGCCCGUGACUAUGGUCGGCAAGGGUAGCGCGACAGUCGGUAAUGCAGGAGGGAUGAAACUCUGUCGACGGUAAGCCAACCAGCCCCGGUGAGGGGAGCAAUUUUCACGAGGGCUGAUAAAGUAACGAUUCCGUGUGCGAGGGUCGGUACGGAGUUGCAGCUGCCUGUGAUUUUUCUGAAACGAAUGUUGUUAACAAGUUUGUACGCUGUGUGUUGAUGGAGAGUGAAAACGCGUUGGUUAUAAUUUGGCAGAUGUAGAAGAGCGAACUGGGGUUGACAUUUUCAGAAAUGUAUAAAAAAUAGUGCGACGAACAAACAGAACAAUCGUACCUUUUCGACGUGGGAGAAAAAUCAAUUAAACUUUAUAAAAUGUGAACGACGAAUUCUCGCGCAUGCAACGAAACGAAAAAGCAAAGUUAACCGCAGCGUAAUAAAUAAAUACACGUCGCUGCUCGUCAGCCAUUGUCAGCGCGUUCGGAAACGCAAUUCGUUGUUAGGAUAAAGAAAUAAAAGCCCAUAGCUAAAUUAAGCCUGAAAAGGGGUAUAAUUAAACAAGCGAGCGAGAGAGAGAGAGAGAGAGAGAGAGAGAGAGAGAGACCGCAAAAAAGCGAAUGAGGCGCAUUGUGCUCAUGCGAUGUGUAAUCAGUCACGUGUGGAUGCUGGCAAUACGGUUUGCACACUCAUGUUGAAGGGGAGAACGCGAGCGAGCGAGCGAGCGAGAGAGAAGCAGAAAAAACGCACACGCAGAUAAACACAAGCACAGCCAAGAUCGCAUUGCGCGCGAGAGAGCGCGAAUAUCUCGUUCUAUUUGCGGUUGACGUUUGUUAGAGCCAUUGCGCGCGUAAUGUAUGCUCGACCCGGUGCUAUAGCGAAAUUACCGGGCGCAUGAUCGACGACACGCGAAUUAGCAUCGGAAUCGUCUCCGCAAUUCGCUGAUGGUCAGAGCGCGAGAAUUCGACAUGCGCGCUAUGCUCUCUCUAUGCCCCCGGAAUAAUUUUAAUUAUCGCGACAGCGUUCCGAUUUAACAACGGCUAAGCAUUAUAUACACGCGAAGGAUUGAUUCGACUCACACAGAGUUUUGUAGUACUCAUACGUAAAUACACGUCUGAAAUAUCGGAAGAAUUUCAAACUUGGCCUCUGGCGACGUUCCGAAUCAAUCGGGUUAAAAGAUAGCGUUUCGAGUAUAGAUCGUAAAACGUUUUUGCGCAAAGAAAACCGAUAUAUACAUAGCGCGCUCGUAUAAGGCAGUCGAUAUCCUCUCAAUGGUGAGCGCGCGGUUUUCAAGUGGUUCGAGUGAGAAAAGCCGUAGAGGAUGAAAAAAAGAAGGCGCGCGCGAAAUAAUGGCCAGAACCUUAAAAGCAGAUGCGGGAACAUUCGCGGUUUUAAUAACGACACGAAUAAUGGAGACUGUGCGAAUACGGGCUAGAGUGUGCUAUAGGUGCGCGUUUCGCGAGUCGUUUGCGGUUCAAAAAGUUCCCUCUCUCCCUCUGUCUCUCUCUUUGCUGCUGCUGCGGUAUUCCCGCAUUUGAGUCGAAUUCAAAAGGAAAAAAGACGUGGCGAGCCCUUCUAUCGCUUUUGCGCGCGCUGAUUUGCACAAUGUCAACGUUGGAAGAUUGUUUGUUAAUCAAGAGAGAUAACUCUGUCCUAACGCUACCUAGAAGGCGGAAAGUUAUUCGUCUAUGACAAUUGAAAUGAUGAUUGAUUACUCUUUGUAUAAUGUGAGGAAUGUAUAGUUACCCAUUGUUAUACGUCCUCUAUUUGUUAUAAAUUGAUAUUGUUUCAAUUAUGGGACAUAUUGAAUCCAUGCAAUUUAUAUUACACACCUGUAUUAAAUUACGUUGAGCUUCCAAUUAGUUUGAUACGCCUGAAAAAGAAAAAAUAAUAAAAAUGUUACUUUUGUAUGAUUCAACAAUAUUUUAAUUAACGAUAUAAAUGUCAUUCAACAUCUGUGUAUUGUAUUUCAUGUUAAAUUUCGUUCAUGCAUCAAAAUUAUAUUUCUCAUAGACACUUAUACAUACAUAUAGAAAACAAAUUCAAUUCAAAUCGUUUGUAUUUCAUUUUCAUGAAAUAAAAUAUAACUUCCUCAAUGACUUUAUGCAGAAUAAUUUCCUUAAAAUCUUUUGUAAUAAUAAUAAGUUGUAAGGUUUCUUUUUUGCAAUCUAUUAAUUGACAAAGCUUUGAAAAAUAAUGUAUAACCUUCUAAAAUCAGUGGUUAACUACAUUAAGAUACCAUAAUUACAUUGAGAUACCCCUUUUUAGUUGGUAAAGAAAUAUCGUUGGAUUUGACAUCAUCGAAAGCAACGCAUAUUUGAUGGCAUCUAGUACUAAAAGUGUUUAAGAAGACUUUUUCAAAGAUAGAACAACAAGCGUAUUUGGAAAUCAGAAAACAUGUUUAAAAAAUAACUGACAGUAUGUUUGACAGUAAAUGACAACUUUUAUACAAAACUUGUUAUGUAUCAUAUUGUAAAUAAAUUUUACAAAAAAAAGAAAAGUGCCAACUCAUUUUGUUCAUACGAAAGGAUACAAGACUCCUCUGAGUACUAAAUUGAGCAUUAUCGUUCAGGUAGUCAUUAUGAAAAUUGGUCAAAUUUCAACUGAGUUAUCAACUCUUACAAUAAAAAUAACUACCACAACUA